This 1314-nucleotide long non-coding RNA is filed under the name Felis catus (domestic cat). RNAcentral's name for it is "lncRNA (ENSFCAG00000045004.2)". The record is from RNAcentral. Lineage: Eukaryota; Metazoa; Chordata; Mammalia; Carnivora; Felidae.
GUCAAAACACACAUAUGCGGUUUUCAUUAACUUGUUCCCUAGAAUGAAAAAGAGAGGCAAGAAGUCCUGUGCUAGGUACAUCCUCUGCAGGAUAGAGCCUCCAGCUUGCCUUUAACUGGGAAGAACAGCAUCUGGAAGCAGUCCACUGCCACGUUUUAUUGGAACAUUCAGAUCACCUCAUGAAAGACCCUGGAGACACAGAGAGCGGAGGAAGGUUAUCAGCCCUGUUGACAUUGAUCCUGGGCCAUCUGUAUCCGUCUUAAUUUGUCAUCCUGGCCAUUCAAGAGCUGAUGACUAGACAGACUUCAAAUGACUUUUAACUUUGUUUUCUAGCACUUAUGGAGGAUACAAAUCUUAAUCUGUGGUCUGCUGUGAUCUCCGAGCCCCCAGACCGGCUUCCAGACAAGGAUAUAACAAAGAGUUCGUGGUUUCUAGAAGGUUCUCAGAGUGGCAAGGUCUACCUUAGAAUGUGCCGACACCAUUAAGAUCCUUUUUUGGUGAAACGUUUCCAGUGAUACUCAGAUGCCCCUGUUCAGAAAGAGCCCGGCCGGAGCGAACGAAAGCAGAUUCCUCCUCCGAAGAGAGCCCAGGCAACAAAUGGAGGCUGGUAAGGAGCACCCGUUGGUAAGAGAGAUAAGAUGACUUGGAACGAGUCUGAGUAUCAGCAAGCCUGCGUUUUCAAACUCAGGCCAACAGCUCGACGUCUAUUUAUGUCAGGUUAGAUCGCACCCUUUGAUAAAGCAUACGGUCACUAGAAAGUGUCCUUUCCUCCCCCUUCCUUCCUCCCGUAGGCAUAAAUUCCCCCUUAUACAGAUCAGUCUGCAGUCAUGAUUGGGUCCACCCUGAUUCAAAACAACCAGGACUUUCAUCUGAGAGGGGGAAAAAAAAAAAUCUAUCCGAACCCACUGUGUGAAAAUUGUAUGGACCCCAAGCAGUUUUAAUUGAACGUUGUACUUUUUACCAUAUACUUCUGCAUCUUUCGUAAAUGGGUUGGAGGCCACUUUGUAUCUAACACAAUGGUACCAACGUUGAAUUUUAAAAACAGAAAUGAAGGACAAUAGGAAAAACUAGUAACACCAAAGCUUGCGUUGGAAGUGGUCCACUAGAAAGUCCUACAGGAUUGUUUAAGGUAUCUCAAAACUUGGCUCUACUCUGCUUAUGGCCAAGGCAAAGCUUAUGCCAAGCACCGGAGAGGGACGCCUAUAAAGGAAAUCUGUGGGUUUCGAUUAUAUGCGUGUAAGAAAUGACCAGUGCUGAAUGGGGAGAGGUCUGCGGAAGCAGCCCUGUAUAGGGACCUCUAAAUAUCCUUUAAUA